GCGGCGGGUGCCUAUGGUCGCUGCUGUGCGGGGACAAUCCGCCGCCAUCCGCCAUCUGACGAGGCCCCGCCGCGUCGGCGCCCCGGGGAGUCGGCGGGAUGAUGUGGUUCCCUCCGUGGUGCGCGAUCUGGGCUGCCGUGGGAGCGGUGUGAGAUGCUGUUCCUGUCGUCACCCGGUGCAGGAGGCGGUGCUGGGCAGGGUUUCUCGCUGUUCGGAGCUCACUGCCUGCCUGCUGAUAGACCCAAGGAGCUGCACACUUAGUGGAAGAGUCUGAGAGCUCGUGAGACCCCGUGGAAAUUAUUGGUGUGCUUUCCUUAAGGCUGAAACUGGAGAAACUGAAGUGGAGCAUGUCAGUGUCCCUUGUUUAAACGGCAUUCAGACCCAAGUGCCUUCAAUCCUGAAGGAGCAGCGUUCUGCACAGCCUCACGGUGGCUGCUGUGUGAGGUGGGAGCUCCCCCAGGUGGGAGAGCUGCAGUGGUGCAGCAGUCAGAGUGCUGUGGGCACUCAGCCUCUGAGGGACGCUGCCAGAGCUCCCAUUCAGAUGCUCAGUGAAGAAGAAUGUUCCUUGCUACGGAGUUUGUCAAAAGAAGAGCUUUCAAGAAGGUCUGGGUAGGAAAUAUUUGGAGUACGGUGCUGAGGUCUGGGGCUUCCAGCACAGGAGAGAUGUGCAGCAAAGCCAGAGCAAGUUGGAGGGGCAGCUGGGUGAUGGCUGCCCUCAUUGCAUCAACGUGUUGGCACACAGUGCUGAGGUUUGGGCACAGCAGAUAUGCCAAUUAAUCCUACAGUUCAUUCUCACCUCUUCAUGCCUUGAGACAUGUAGCUCCAGGUAUAUGAUCUCUUAAAGUUUUACUGUUAAGACUUUCCCAUUAUAGUAGGUAAGUAAUUUUAUUAUAAAAUAACGAUAAAAUACAUUUUACAAAAUGCA
This is a long non-coding RNA of Tympanuchus pallidicinctus (lesser prairie-chicken), 925 nucleotides long. RefSeq lists it as uncharacterized. The transcript is spliced from 5 exons. The record is from RefSeq and is a predicted model, not a curated record. Lineage: Eukaryota; Metazoa; Chordata; Aves; Galliformes; Phasianidae.